RNAcentral lists this ribosomal RNA (592 nucleotides) under Pseudomonas neuropathica. RNAcentral's name for it is "bacterial SSU rRNA". It matches the Rfam family "Bacterial small subunit ribosomal RNA", at positions 278 to 864 of the family's 1533-position model. The record is from RNAcentral. Lineage: Bacteria; Pseudomonadati; Pseudomonadota; Gammaproteobacteria; Pseudomonadales; Pseudomonadaceae.
GAUCUAUAACUGGUGUGAGAGGAUCUCACUCACUCUGGAUCUGAGACGCGGUCCAGUCUCUAGGGGAGGCAGCAGUGGGGAAUAUUGCACAAUGGGAGAAAGCCUGAUACAGCCAUCCCGUGAGUGAGAAGAAGGUUUUCGGAUUGUAAAUCACUUUUAGGUGGGAGGAAGGUCACUAAGUUAAUGCCCUGUUCUUUUGAGGUUCCUGACAGAAUAAGCACCGGUUAAUUCUGUGCCACCAGCCGCGGUAAUCCAGAGGGUCCAAGCGUUUAUCGGAAUUAUUGGGGGUAAAGCGUGCCUAGGGGGUUCGUUAAUUUGGAUGUGAAAUCCCCGGGCUCAACGUGGGGGGUGCAUCCAAAACUGGCAAGCUAGAGUCCGGUAGAGGGUGGUGGAAUUUCCGGUGUAGCGGUGAAAUGGGUAGAAAUAGGAAGGACCACCGGUGGGGAAGGCGCCCUCCUGGACGGAUACUGACGUUGAGGUGGGAAAGCUUGGGGAGCAACCAGGAUUAGAUACCCGGGUAGUCCACGCCGUAAACGAUGUCAACUAGCCGAGGGAAUCCUCGAGAUUUUAGUGGCGCAGCUAACGCAUUAAG